RNAcentral lists this ribosomal RNA (468 nucleotides) under uncultured bacterium. Its description in RNAcentral is "partial 16S ribosomal RNA". It matches the Rfam family "Bacterial small subunit ribosomal RNA", at positions 28 to 507 of the family's 1533-position model. The record is from RNAcentral.
GACGAACGCUGGCGGCGUGCUUAACACAUGCAAGUCGAACGGAAAGGCCCUGCUUUUGUGGGGUGCUCGAGUGGCGAACGGGUGAGUAACACGUGAGUAACCUGCCCUUGACUUUGGGAUAACUUCAGGAAACUGGGGCUAAUACCGGAUAGGAGCUCCUGCUGCAUGGUGGGGGUUGGAAAGUUUCGGCGGUUGGAGAUGGACUCGCGGCUUAUCAGCUUGUUGGUGGGGUAGUGGCUUACCAAGGCUUUGACGGGUAGCCGGCCUGAGAGGGUGACCGGCCACAUUGGGAAUGAGAAACGGCCCAGACUCCUACGGGAGGCAGCAGUGGGGAAUAUUGCACAAUGGGCGGAAGCCUGAUGCAGCAACGCCGCGUGCGGGAUGACGGCCUUCGGGUUGUAAACCGCUUUCGCCUGUGACGAAGCGUGAGUGACGGUAAUGGGUAAAGAAGCACCGGCUAACUACGUG